Molecule: ribosomal RNA, 774 nt
Filed under: uncultured Neocallimastigales
Lineage: Eukaryota; Fungi; Neocallimastigomycota; Neocallimastigomycetes; Neocallimastigales
Description: partial large subunit ribosomal RNA
Rfam family: Eukaryotic large subunit ribosomal RNA
Source: RNAcentral
UCAGACGAUGCGUCAUGCAUAUCAAUAAGCGGAGGAAAAGAAACUAACUAGGAUUCCCUUAAUAACGGCGAGUGAAGCGGGAAGAGCUCAAAUUUGAAAUCUUCAAGGUUUGACCUUGACGAAUUGUAGUUUAAAGAAGUGUUUUCGGUUAGAGGAGUGGUAAAAGUUCUUUGGAAUAGGACAUCAUAGAGGGUGAGAAUCCCGUAUUUGACCAUUAUUUUCAGCUGUGUGAUACACUUUCAAAGAGUCGGAUUGUUUGGGAAUGCAGUCCAAAAUGGGUGGUAAAUUUCAUCUAAAGCUAAAUAUUGGCGAGAGACCGAUAGCGAACAAGUACCGUGAGGGAAAGAUGAAAAGAACUUUGAAAAGAGAGUUAAACAGUACGUGAAAUUGUCAAAAGGGAAGCGUUUGACACCAGUGUUGUUUUCUCGAAAAUCAAUUAAAAAGAGUUGGAUUUUGCGUUGUAUUGACCUUAACAGCUUGCUUCACUCUUUUCCUGCUUUUUUUAAUGCACUUUUCGUUUAACAAGUCAACAUCAGUUUCUUUUGUUGUAAAAGGGUCAUUGGAAGGUGGCUUUCUCUUCGGAGAAAGUGUUUAUAGCCUUUGAUCUCUGCAAUCGGAGAGACUGAGGUCUGCAGCGUAGAUCCUUCGGGGUUAGAUACAUUUGUGCUAAGCUACAGCUUUUCAUAGACAACUUGUUGACUAUGUUUAGUCUUGUAACUUACCCGCUUAUGCUAUUUUACCUACGCUUAGGAUGUUGAUAUGCAUGACUGAUAU